UACGGAGGGGGCUAGCGUUGUUCGGAAUUACUGGGCGUAAAGCGCGCGUAGGCGGACCUGCAAGUCGGGGUGAAAGCCCGAGGCUCAACCUCGGAACUGCCUUCGAUACUGCGGGUCUCGAGUCCGGGAGAGGUGAGUGGAAUUCCUAGUGUAGAGGUGAAAUUCGUAGAUAUUAGGAAGAACACCAGUGGCGAAGGCGGCUCACUGGCCCGGCACUGACGCUGAGGCGCGAAAGCGUGGGGAGCAACAGG
This 251-nucleotide ribosomal RNA is filed under the name uncultured bacterium. RNAcentral's name for it is "partial 16S ribosomal RNA". It matches the Rfam family "Bacterial small subunit ribosomal RNA", at positions 524 to 775 of the family's 1533-position model. The record is from RNAcentral.